UCAAGCUACAAAGGGCGCAAGGGGAAUGCCUUGGCACUGGGAGCCGAAGAAGGACGCGACAAGCUGCGAUAAGCUGCGGGGAGUGGCAAAUACACUUAGAUCCGCAGAUUUCCGAAUGGGGAAACCCACGGGGGCAAUACCCCCGUACCAUACGGUGAAUUCAUAGCCGUAUGGAGGGAACCCGCCGAACUGAAACAUCUAAGUAGGCGGAGGAAAAGAAAUCAACAGAGAUUCCGCUAGUAGUGGCGAGCGAACGCGGAAGAGGCCAAACCGGAGGUAUCACAGAACCGACAAUGAUGUUUGUCGGCUGUGUGAUAUUUCCGGGGUUUGGACGGCACACGCUAUCACGGAGGUUAGCCGAAGCGCAUGGGAAGGCGCAUCACAGAGGGUGAGAAUCCCGUAGGCGAAAACCAAAGUGGGGCAGCCGUAUCCAGAGUACUGCGGGACACGAGGAAUCCCGUGGGAAGAUGGGUGGACCACCAUCCAAGCCUAAAUACUACCCAGUGACCGAUAGUGAAGCAGUACCGUGAGGGAAAGGUGAAAAGUACCCCGGGAGGGGAGUGAAAUAGAACCUGAAACCUUGUGCCUACAAGCACAGAGAGCGCGUUUAUGCGUGAUCUGGUACUUUUUGUAGAACGGUCCGGCGAGUUAAUGUUUGCAGCAAGGUUAAGGUACUGGAGUACCGGAGCCGAAGGGAAACCAAGUCUUAAUAGGGCGCUGGAGUUGCAAGUAUUAGACCCGAAACCGGGUGACCUAUCCAUGUCCAGGCUGAAGUGAAGGUAAAACUUCAUGGAGGGCCGAACCCACGUUCGUUGAAAAGACCGGGGAUGAGGUGUGGAUAGCGGAGAAAUUCCAAUCGAACUCGGAGAUAGCUGGUUCUCCCCGAAAUAGCUUUAGGGCUAGCCUUAUGGGAGAUUAACGGAGGUAAAGCACUGAAUGGGCUAGGGGCCGAUAAGGUUACCGAACCCUAUCAAACUCUGAAUGCCGUAUAAUUUAAUCCAUAGGAGUCAGACAGCGUGAGAUAAGUUUCGUUGUCAAGAGGGAAAAAGCCCAGACCAACAGCUAAGGUCCCUAAUAUAUACUAAGUGGAAAACGAUGUGGAGUUGCAAAAACAACCAGGAUGUUGGCUUAGAAGCAGCCACUCAUUAAAAGAGUGCGUAAUAGCUCACUGGUCGAGUGACUCUGCGCGGAAAAUUCAACGGGGCUAAGUAUAUAACCGAAGCUUUGGCUGCGCACUUAUGUGCGCGGGGUAGGGGAGCGUCGUAUGCUGGGGCGAAGCGUGACCGUAAGGACGCGUGGACUGCAUACGAGUGAGAAUGCCGGAAUAAGUAGCGAGAAUUAUGUGGGAAUCAUAAUGGCCGAAAAUCUAAGGUUUCUUGGGGAAGGUUCGUCCGCCCAAGGUAAGCCGGGAGCUAAGGUGAGGCCGGAAGGCGUAGCCGAUGCACAUACGGUGGAUAUUCCGUAGCCGCCGACAUUUAAACCACAGGGACACUUGAAGAUAUCCGGACCCGGGCGUUGGUUGACCCGGGCGUAAGGGACCGAAAUUAGAGUAGGGAAGCCGGAGAUUCUGCGAGGCGAGAAAAGCUGUGGCGUAUACUAAGGCGCCCGUACCGCAAACCGACACAGGUAGAUGAGGAGAGAAUCCUAAGGCCAACGGGAGAAGGGUUGUCAAGGAACUCGGCAAGUUGACCCCGUAACUUCGGGAGAAGGGGUGCCCUCAGCAAUGGGGGCCGCAGAGAAUAGGCCCAAGCGACUGUUUAGCAAAAACACAGGUCUCUGCUAAGUCGUAAGACGACGUAUAGGGGCUGACGCCUGCCCGGUGCCGGAAGGUUAAGAGGAGAGGUUAGCUGUAAAGCGAAGCUUUGAAUUGAAGCCCCGGUAAACGGCGGCCGUAACUAUAACGGUCCUAAGGUAGCGAAAUUCCUUGUCAGGUAAGUUCUGACCCGCACGAAUGGCGUAACGAUUUGGGCACUGUCUCGACAGCCCGCCCGGCGAAAUUGUAGUACCGGUGAAGAUGCCGGUUACCCGCAACUAGACGGAAAGACCCCAUGGAGCUUCACUGCAGCUUGAUACUGGAUUUUGAUAUUUCAUGUGUAGGAUAGGUGGGAGGCUUAGAAGCCCGGGCGCCAGCUUGGGUGGAGCCGUCCUUGAAAUACCACUCUUGGAAUAUUGGAAUUCUAACCUGCGCCCAUGAAUCUGGGCGGGGGACACUGUCAGGUGGGCAGUUUGACUGGGGCGGUCGCCUCCAAAAGAGUAACGGAGGCGCUCAAAGGUUGGCUCAGCACGGACGGAAAUCGUGCAUAGAGUGCAAACGCGUAAGCCAGCCUAACUGCGAGACCGACGGGUCGAGCAGUAACGAAAGUUGGAGUUAGUGAUCCGGCGGUAUGUGCGUGGAAAUGCCGUCGCUCAACGGAUAAAAGCUACCCUGGGGAUAACAGGCUGAUCUCCCCCAAGCGUCCACAGCGACGGGGAGGUUUGGCACCUCGAUGUCGGCUCGUCACAUCCUGGGGCUGUAUUCGGUCCCAAGGGUUCGGCUGUUCGCCGAUUAAAGUGGCACGCGAGCUGGGUUCAGAACGUCGUGAGACAGUUCGGUCCCUAUCUGUUGCGGGCGUAGGAGAUUUGAAGGGAGCUGUCCUUAGUACGAGAGGACCGGGAUGGACGUACCUCUGGUGCACCAGUUGUCCUGCCAAGGGCACAGCUGGAUAGCUAAGUACGGACGAGAUAAACGCUGAAAGCAUCUAAGCGUGAAACUCUCCCUAAGAUUAGAUCUCCCACACUGUUAAGGUGGUAAGGCUCCAGAGAGACUAUCUGGUUGAUAGGCCGGAGGUGGAAGCGUGGUAACACGUGCAGCUGACCGGUACUAAUAAGCCGAGGGCUUGACCUU
Molecule: ribosomal RNA, 2884 nt
Filed under: Clostridia bacterium
Lineage: Bacteria; Bacillati; Bacillota; Clostridia
Description: 23S ribosomal RNA
Rfam family: Bacterial large subunit ribosomal RNA
Source: RNAcentral